RNAcentral lists this ribosomal RNA (273 nucleotides) under uncultured Planomicrobium sp. RNAcentral describes it as "partial 16S ribosomal RNA". It matches the Rfam family "Bacterial small subunit ribosomal RNA", at positions 524 to 796 of the family's 1533-position model. The record is from RNAcentral. Lineage: Bacteria; Bacillati; Bacillota; Bacilli; Caryophanales; Caryophanaceae.
UACGUAGGUGGCAAGCGUUGUCCGGAAUUAUUGGGCGUAAAGCGCGCGCAGGCGGUCCUUUAAGUCUGAUGUGAAAGCUCACGGCUCAACCGUGGAGGGUCAUUGGAAACUGGGGGACUUGAGUGCAGAAGAGGAAAGUGGAAUUCCACGUGUAGCGGUGAAAUGCGUAGAGAUGUGGAGGAACACCAGUGGCGAAGGCGACUUUCUGGUCUGUAACUGACGCUGAGGCGCGAAAGCGUGGGGAGCAAACAGGAUUAGAAACCCUAGUAGUCC